CUCUGUCGGUAUGAGGCCAUUCGGAUUUGAGCCUCAUCUCGCAGUUCGGAGAGAAGGUCUAGGUCGGCCCUCCGGCUUUCGGAGUUGUCCGGCUCGUGAUACUGCUCGACCCUUGAAGAUGGCAGGCCAAUCUCGAGCGGGAUCAUAGCUUCUGUCCCGUAGGCCAAACUGAACGGCGACUCCCCGGUCGGGACGCGGGGGGUCGUUCGGUAAGCCCACAGGACGGAGCCCAGCUCGUCGACCCAGA
This 247-nucleotide long non-coding RNA is filed under the name Elaeis guineensis (African oil palm). RNAcentral describes it as "long non-coding RNA (EGUI_LNC007283)". The record is from RNAcentral. Lineage: Eukaryota; Viridiplantae; Streptophyta; Magnoliopsida; Arecales; Arecaceae.